RNAcentral lists this ribosomal RNA (376 nucleotides) under uncultured Kluyvera sp. Its description in RNAcentral is "bacterial SSU rRNA". It matches the Rfam family "Bacterial small subunit ribosomal RNA", at positions 523 to 898 of the family's 1533-position model. Lineage: Bacteria; Pseudomonadati; Pseudomonadota; Gammaproteobacteria; Enterobacterales; Enterobacteriaceae. The record is from RNAcentral.
AUACGGAGGGUGCAAGCGUUAAUCGGAAUUACUGGGCGUAAAGCGCACGCAGGCGGUUGGUUAAGUCAGAUGUGAAAUCCCCGGGCUCAACCCGGGAACUGCAUUUGAAACUGGCCAGCUUGAGUCUCGUAGAGGGAGGUAGAAUUCCAGGUGUAGCGGUGAAAUGCGUAGAGAUCUGGAGGAAUACCGGUGGCGAAGGCGGCCUCCUGGACGAAGACUGACGCUCAGGUGCGAAAGCGUGGGGAGCAAACAGGAUUAGAUACCCUGGUAGUCCACGCCGUAAACGAUGUCUAUUUGGAGGCUGUGAGCUUGACUCGUGGCUUCCGGAGCUAACGCGUUAAAUAGACCGCCUGGGGAGUACGGCCGCAAGGUUAAA